CCUACGGGAGGCUGCAGUCGAGAAUCAUUCACAAUGGGGGAAACCCUGAUGGUGUGACGCCGCGUGGGGGAAUGAAGGUCUUCGGAUUGUAAACCCCUGUCAUGUGGGAGCAAAUUAAAAAGAUAGUACCACAAGAGGAAGAGACGGCUAACUCUGUGCCAGCAGCCGCGGUAAUACAGAGGUCUCAAGCGUUGUUCGGAAUCACUGGGCGUAAGGCGUGCGUAGGCUGUUUCGUAAGUCGUGUGUGAAAGGCGCGGGCUCAACCCGCGGACGGCACAUGAUACUGCGAGACUAGAGUAAUGGAGGGGGAACCGGAAUUCUCGGUGUAGCAGUGAAAUGCGUAGAUAUCGAGAGGAACACUCGUGGCGAAGGCGGGUUCCUGGACAUUAACUGACGCUGAGGCACGAAGGCCAGGGGAGCGAAAGGGAUUAGAUACCCCAGUAGUC
This 446-nucleotide ribosomal RNA is filed under the name uncultured bacterium. RNAcentral's name for it is "partial 16S ribosomal RNA". It matches the Rfam family "Bacterial small subunit ribosomal RNA", at positions 338 to 795 of the family's 1533-position model. The record is from RNAcentral.